GACGAACGCUGGCGGCGUGCCUAAUACAUGCAAGUCGAGCGGACGAAUCGAAAGCUUGCUUUUGAUUCGUUAGCGGCGGACGGGUGAGUAACACGUGUGCAACCUGCCCUGUAGACGGGGAUAACACCGAGAAAUCGGUGCUAAUACCGGAUAACACGAAAUGUCGCAUGACGUUUCGUUGAAAGACGGCGCAAGCUGCCGCUACAGGGUGGGCCCGCGGCGCAUUAGCUAGUUGGUGAGGUAACGGCUCACCAAGGCGACGAUACGUAGCCGACCGGAGAGGGUGAUCGGCCACACUGGGACUGAGACACGGCCCAGACUCCUACGGGAGGCAGCAGUAGGGAAUGUUCCGCAAUGGACGAAAGUCUGACGGAGCAACGCCGCGUGAGCGAAGAAGGCCUUCGGGGCGUAAAGCUCUGUUGUUAGGGAAGAACAAGUAACGCAGUAACUGGCGUUACCGUGACGGUACCUAACGAGAAAGCCACGGCUAACUACGUG
This 498-nucleotide ribosomal RNA is filed under the name uncultured bacterium. RNAcentral describes it as "partial 16S ribosomal RNA". It matches the Rfam family "Bacterial small subunit ribosomal RNA", at positions 28 to 507 of the family's 1533-position model. The record is from RNAcentral.